GAUGAGCCAGAAUUGGCACCUUGUCUAUAAAUAAGGUGCAAAAUGAUUUUAACUGAAGAGUUUGAUCAUGGCUCAGAUUGAACGCUGGCGGCAGGCUUAACACAUGCAAGUCGAGCGGGGAAGGUAGCUUGCUACUGGACCUAGCGGCGGACGGGUGAGUAAUGCUUAGGAAUCUGCCUAUUAGUGGGGACAACAUCUCGAAAGGGAUGCUAAUACCGCAUACGUCCUACGGGAGAAAGCAGGGGAUCUUCGGACCUUGCGCUAAUAGAUGAGCCUAAGUCGGAUUAGCUAGUUGGUGGGGUAAAGGCCUACCAAGGCGACGAUCUGUAGCGGGUCUGAGAGGAUGAUCCGCCACACUGGGACUGAGACACGGCCCAGACUCCUACGGGAGGCAGCAGUGGGGAAUAUUGGACAAUGGGGGAACCCUGAUCCAGCCAUGCCGCGUGUGUGAAGAAGGCCUUAUGGUUGUAAAGCACUUUAAGCGAGGAGGAGGCUACUUUAGUUAAUACCUAGAGAUAGUGGACGUUACUCGCAGAAUAAGCACCGGCUAACUCUGUGCCAGCAGCCGCGGUAAUACAGAGGGUGCGAGCGUUAAUCGGAUUUACUGGGCGUAAAGCGUGCGUAGGCGGCUUAUUAAGUCGGAUGUGAAAUCCCCGAGCUUAACUUGGGAAUUGCAUUCGAUACUGGUGAGCUAGAGUAUGGGAGAGGAUGGUAGAAUUCCAGGUGUAGCGGUGAAAUGCGUAGAGAUCUGGAGGAAUACCGAUGGCGAAGGCAGCCAUCUGGCCUAAUACUGACGCUGAGGUACGAAAGCAUGGGGAGCAAACAGGAUUAGAUACCCUGGUAGUCCAUGCCGUAAACGAUGUCUACUAGCCGUUGGGGCCUUUGAGGCUUUUAGUGGCGCAGCUAACGCGAUAAGUAGACCGCCUGGGGAGUACGGUCGCAAGACUAAAACUCAAAUGAAUUGACGGGGGCCCGCACAAGCGGUGGAGCAUGUGGUUUAAUUCGAUGCAACGCGAAGAACCUUACCUGGCCUUGACAUACUAGAAACUUUCCAGAGAUGGAUUGGUGCCUUCGGGAAUCUAGAUACAGGUGCUGCAUGGCUGUCGUCAGCUCGUGUCGUGAGAUGUUGGGUUAAGUCCCGCAACGAGCGCAACCCUUUUCCUUACUUGCCAGCAUUUCGGAUGGGAACUUUAAGGAUACUGCCAGUGACAAACUGGAGGAAGGCGGGGACGACGUCAAGUCAUCAUGGCCCUUACGGCCAGGGCUACACACGUGCUACAAUGGUCGGUACAAAGGGUUGCUACACAGCGAUGUGAUGCUAAUCUCAAAAAGCCGAUCGUAGUCCGGAUUGGAGUCUGCAACUCGACUCCAUGAAGUCGGAAUCGCUAGUAAUCGCGGAUCAGAAUGCCGCGGUGAAUACGUUCCCGGGCCUUGUACACACCGCCCGUCACACCAUGGGAGUUUGUUGCACCAGAAGUAGCUAGCCUAACUGCAAAGAGGGCGGUUACCACGGUGUGGCCGAUGACUGGGGUGAAGUCGUAACAAGGUAGCCGUAGGGGAACCUGCGGCUGGAUCACCUCCUUAA
This 1585-nucleotide ribosomal RNA is filed under the name Acinetobacter baumannii. RNAcentral describes it as "bacterial SSU rRNA". It matches the Rfam family "Bacterial small subunit ribosomal RNA". The record is from RNAcentral. Lineage: Bacteria; Pseudomonadati; Pseudomonadota; Gammaproteobacteria; Moraxellales; Moraxellaceae.